GUGCUUGCUUCGACAGCACAUAUACUAAAAACUGGGACGAUACGGAGAUUAGCAUGGCCCCUACACAAAGAUGACAUACAAAUUCGUGAAAUGUUCCAUAUUUUU
Lepus europaeus (European hare) is the source of this 105-nucleotide small nuclear RNA. The record is from RefSeq and is a predicted model, not a curated record. Lineage: Eukaryota; Metazoa; Chordata; Mammalia; Lagomorpha; Leporidae.